CCUACGGGGGCUGCAGUGGGGAAUAUUGGACAAUGGGCGAAAGCCUGAUCCAGCCAUGCCGCGUGUGUGAAGAAGGCCUUCGGGUUGUAAAGCACUUUCAGUGGGGAAGAAAGCCUUGGGGCUAAUACCCUCGAGGAAGGACAUCACCCACAGAAGAAGCACCGGCUAACUCCGUGCCAGCAGCCGCGGUAAUACGGAGGGUGCGAGCGUUAAUCGGAAUUACUGGGCGUAAAGCGCGCGUAGGCGGUCUGAUAAGCCGGUUGUGAAAGCCCCGGGCUCAACCUGGGAACGGCAUCCGGAACUGUCAGGCUAGAGUGCAGGAGAGGAAGGUAGAAUUCCCGGUGUAGCGGUGAAAUGCGUAGAGAUCGGGAGGAAUACCAGUGGCGAAGGCGGCCUUCUGGACUGACACUGACGCUGAGGUGCGAAAGCGUGGGUAGCAAACAGGAUUACAUACCCCAGUAGUC
This 464-nucleotide ribosomal RNA is filed under the name Vreelandella stevensii. Its description in RNAcentral is "partial 16S ribosomal RNA". It matches the Rfam family "Bacterial small subunit ribosomal RNA", at positions 338 to 795 of the family's 1533-position model. The record is from RNAcentral. Lineage: Bacteria; Pseudomonadati; Pseudomonadota; Gammaproteobacteria; Oceanospirillales; Halomonadaceae.